Molecule: long non-coding RNA, 245 nt
Filed under: Capsicum annuum
Lineage: Eukaryota; Viridiplantae; Streptophyta; Magnoliopsida; Solanales; Solanaceae
Description: long non-coding RNA (CANN_LNC012314)
Source: RNAcentral
UAGCGACGUUUCUUCACGUGAGAGGAGUAGCAGUUAAAGCCUGGCAACCGAUCCUGAGGGUACUCAAUUCAUUCCAUUGAGGAAAAUACUGCACUGAGAUAACAAGUUGAUAGUGAUAUUGAGUGAUUUGUACUGAGGCCUAUUGUUGAGAGAGGGUAGAUUUGUAUGUUAGCUAGAGAUCUGCUUCACUAUUAGGAUUGUUAUUUUAGUUCAUAAAUAUUUGAGGAACAGAGGGUCAGCCUCUG